Molecule: ribozyme, 73 nt
Filed under: unclassified sequences
Description: HDV ribozyme from F. prausnitzii
Rfam family: HDV ribozyme from F. prausnitzii
Source: RNAcentral
GCUGCUCGGAUAAUCACACACCUCUUCGUGGUGAGCAGCAGGCAACAAUCUUACAAUCGGCGAAGAUGUGAGA